This 421-nucleotide long non-coding RNA is filed under the name Gossypium raimondii (Peruvian cotton). RNAcentral's name for it is "long non-coding RNA (GRAI_LNC004111)". Lineage: Eukaryota; Viridiplantae; Streptophyta; Magnoliopsida; Malvales; Malvaceae. The record is from RNAcentral.
AAUCACUAAUUAAUAUGGGUUCUUUGAUCAAAGCGACUGUUUGGUCAACCUGUUUUGCCGCAUUAAUCAUUGCAAUAGCAGCUCAAAUGGACAUGCCGCCCGGCAUGGUGAUGCCACCAGGCUCCGUCAUGCCCUCGGCGCCCACGCCCAAUCGAAGCAGCCACCUUGUAUCUCCAUCUUUGGUGCUUGGAUUCCUUGCGUUCAUGGUUUCAAUUUUUGCUGUCAACCAGAGAGCCUGAUCAGCCUCUCUCUACAUAAAUGCUUGGCAUUUCGACUUUCAUGCUUCUUCUUUUUUUAAUGUUUUUGGUGUCUCCGUCUGUUGCUACGCCGGUUUGUAAUACAUUUCGCUUUCUUAAAUUACUAUCUAUGACAUAAAUUUUCUUUCUCCUGGUUUGAGGAAGAAUAUUAGAUUAAACAUUUC